GCUCUCUGGACCUGACCAUAGGCAGGACUUUCCAAUCUCUCCUCCUGCUCAUGCCAAUUUUUGUCCAUAGUUGGCCAUCAGGGAGCGCUGAACAUGGACUCAGGCAAGGAGUUCAGAGACGUAGGAAAAGGACCCCCCUUACUUCGUGGUGUGGGCAGCCUUGAUAAGGAAGCUCCUGUAGCACCUCUCCGAAAUUGUUGUGCUGCUGAGCAACUUGAGGUAAAGGCAUAAAAAAGGGUUAGACUACAAGCACGCACGCACACGCACACACGCACCCAGACAAACACACAGGAAAGGAGGAGAAGAUGAUGACGGCAGCGCUCCC
Molecule: long non-coding RNA, 325 nt
Organism: Hemicordylus capensis (graceful crag lizard)
Lineage: Eukaryota; Metazoa; Chordata; Lepidosauria; Squamata; Cordylidae
Exons: 3
Source: RefSeq, a predicted model, not a curated record